UCGGUCCUGCGGGGCACGGUGGCACCGGCUCCUUCAUCUCGAAGGAUGGCCUCAUCGUGACGAACCACCAUGUCGCCCUGGACGCCGUCAGGCAAGCUAGCAGCCCCACGCAUGACUACC
Molecule: non-coding RNA, 120 nt
Filed under: Kryptoperidinium triquetrum
Lineage: Eukaryota; Dinophyceae; Peridiniales; Kryptoperidiniaceae
Source: RNAcentral